This 450-nucleotide ribosomal RNA is filed under the name uncultured bacterium. RNAcentral's name for it is "bacterial SSU rRNA". It matches the Rfam family "Bacterial small subunit ribosomal RNA", at positions 354 to 796 of the family's 1533-position model. The record is from RNAcentral.
GUGGGGAAUUUUGGACAAUGGGGGAAACCCUGAUCCAGCCAUGCCGCGUGCAGGAUGAAGGCCUUCGGGUUGUAAACUGCUUUUGUACGGAACGAAAAGGUCUUUUCUAAUAAAGAAGGCUGAUGACGGUACCGUAAGAAUAAGCACCGGCUAACUACGUGCCAGCAGCCGCGGUAAUACGUAGGGUGCGAGCGUUAAUCGGAAUUACUGGGCGUAAAGCGUGCGCAGGCGGUUAUGCAAGACAGAUGUGAAAUCCCCGGGCUCAACCUGGGAACUGCAUUAGUGACUGCAUAGCUAGAGUGCGGCAGAGGGGGAUGGAAUUCCGCGUGUAGCAGUGAAAUGCGUAGAUAUGCGGAGGAACACCGAUGGCGAAGGCAAUCCCCUGGGCCUGCACUGACGCUCAUGCACGAAAGCGUGGGGAGCAAACAGGAUUAGAAACCCCAGUAGUCC